AGAAAUAUGUUAUUCAAAAGAAAGCUUCUAACUUAUCUUUUUAGCAGUGAAAAUCUGUUAAUAUUUC
This 67-nucleotide transfer RNA is filed under the name Ptilodactylidae sp. 2 ACP-2013. RNAcentral describes it as "tRNA-Ser". The record is from RNAcentral. Lineage: Eukaryota; Metazoa; Arthropoda; Insecta; Coleoptera; Ptilodactylidae.